AUUGAACGCUGGCGGCGUGCCUAACACAUGCAAGUCGAGCGGUAACAGGUGUAGCAAUACAUGCUGACGAGCGGCGGACGGGUGAGUAACGCUUGGGAAUCUGCCUAUUAGUGGGGGACAACCCGGGGAAACUCGGGCUAAUACCGCAUACGCUCUACGGAGGAAAGCCGGGGACCGCAAGGCCUGGCGCUAAUAGAUGAGCCCAAGUCGGAUUAGCUAGUUGGUAGGGUAANGGCCUACCAAGGCGACGAUCCGUAACUGGUCUGAGAGGACGACCAGUCACACCGGAACUGAGACACGGUCCGGACUCCUACGGGAGGCAGCAGUGGGGAAUAUUGGACAAUGGGCGAAAGCCUGAUCCAGCGACGCCGCGUGGGUGAAGAAGGCCUGCGGGUUGUAAAGCCCUUUCAGUGGGGAAGAAAGCCUCGACCUAACACGUCGGGGUCUUGACGUAACCCAUAGAAGAAGCACCGGCUAACUCUGUGCCAGCAGCCGCUGUAAG
Molecule: ribosomal RNA, 502 nt
Filed under: uncultured bacterium
Lineage: Bacteria
Description: bacterial SSU rRNA
Rfam family: Bacterial small subunit ribosomal RNA
Source: RNAcentral